UUUCGCAAUGCCCGAAAGGGUGACGGAGCGACGCCGCGUGGGUGAGGAAGGCCCUCGGGUUGUAAAGCCCUGUCAGGAGUUAAGAAACGUAAGUGCGCUAAUAUCGCAUUCAUUUGACGAAGGCUCCAAAGGAAGCCACGGCUAACUCUGUGCCAGCAGCCGCGGUAAUACAGAGGUGGCAAGCGUUGUUCGGAAUUAUUGGGCGUAAAGAGCACGUAGGUGGGUUUGUAAGUCAGAUGUGAAAGCCUUCUGUUCAACGGAAGAAUUGCAUCUGAAACUACAAGUCUUGAGUGUAGGAGGGGAGAAUGGAACUUCUGGUGGAGCGGUGAAAUGCGUAGAUAUCAGAAGGAACGCCGGCGGCGAAAGCGAUUCUCUGGCCUAUUACUGACACUCAGUGUGCGAAAGCUAGGGGAGCAAACGGGAUUAGAUACCCCGGUAGUCCUAGCCGUAAACGAUGGGCACUAAGUAGAGGGGUUUU
Molecule: ribosomal RNA, 478 nt
Filed under: uncultured bacterium
Lineage: Bacteria
Description: bacterial SSU rRNA
Rfam family: Bacterial small subunit ribosomal RNA
Source: RNAcentral